Long non-coding RNA from Esox lucius (northern pike), 1197 nucleotides. Lineage: Eukaryota; Metazoa; Chordata; Actinopteri; Esociformes; Esocidae. The record is from Ensembl.
CUCCUCUUUGCCCAGGAUGGUGUUUCCUGAGGAACUCUUCCCAGAUGUUCUGGAUCCCAGCAACACAAUCCUCAACUCUGAGAGAUGGAGGGAGUCAUCUGGUUGAAAAGGGUGGGACAAACAGAGAGCAGAAGAGACGUGGUGGGAGUCAUGACACAUGAAGAGAGACAUGGAGGGAGACAUGACACAUGAAGAGAGACGUGGAGGGAGACAUGACACAUGAAGAGAGACGUGGAGGGAGACAUGACACAUGAAGAGAGACGUGGAGGGAGACAUGACACAUGAAGAGAAACGUGGAGGGAGACAUGACACAUGAAGAGAGACAUGGAGGGAGACAUGACACACGAAGAGAGACGUGGAGGGAGUCAUGACACAUGGAGGGAGACAUGACACAUGAAGAGAGACGUGGAGGGAGACAUGACACAUGAAGAGAGACAUGGAGGGAGUCAUGACACAUGAGGAGAGACAUGGAGGGAGUCAUGACACAUGAAGAGAGACAUGGAGGGAGACAUGACACACGAAGAGAGACAUGGAGGGAGUCAUGACACAUGAAGAGAGACGUGGAGGGAGACAUGACACAUGAAGAGAGACGUGGAGGGAGACAUGACACAUGAAGAGAGACGUGAAUGGAGACAUGACACACGAAGAGAGACGUGGAGGGAGUCAUGACACACGAAGAGAGACGUGGAGGGAGACAUGACACACGAAGAGAGACGUGGAGGGAGUCAUGACACAUGAAGAGAGACGUGGAGGGAGUCAUGACACAUGAAGGGACAAAGAGAGAGAAACAGUGAUCAUUAUUAUACAGUAUACUUGGGCAAAACAACCACAGACUGGAAAGUUUUUAAGUUUCUUCAACUAAUUAUUUUUCAUGUACUAGUUCCAUUGUUUUUUAUGUUUCCUCAAAUUUGAGGUCCAAUUAUUACCAGAAAUACACAUUUUCAGUUGGCCCCGAAAUUAUGUAUGGCUCAACUUCUCUUAUUUCAACUAUAAAUAAUUAUUUGGGUUCUAAAGAUAAAGCUGUGGAAUUAGCCAGAAAUGUUUUUAUUUAAUCAGAAAACAACAGUACUUGGCCUCCAACCCAACAACACUGCUUAGCUCAGAGGCUAACCAGCAAUGGAAGCAGUUGCAAAGCUGUAGCCAAAGUGUUUGUGAUUUGCAACAUGCCAAAGCCUCUUGCCGCAUCUUUGAUUUACA